This 199-nucleotide long non-coding RNA is filed under the name Prunus persica (peach). RNAcentral's name for it is "long non-coding RNA (PPER_LNC001854)". The record is from RNAcentral. Lineage: Eukaryota; Viridiplantae; Streptophyta; Magnoliopsida; Rosales; Rosaceae.
CCACUAUAUCUCAGGGUAUAUGGUAGCGUCAAAGUAAUGCUAGGUGUGAAUAUGUAUAUGCUUGUAUUCACAUAACAUGGUAUGACCCUUGAAAAUUGGAUUUCUUCAAAUUAAUUGCUGGAUCAAUAUUACAAUUCAUAACCAAUACGUUAGGAUCAUGUUGUUGUAAGUUAUUUCUUCCAUUUACUUAUAUACUCAC